AUUGAACGCUGGCGGCAUGCCUUACACAUGCAAGUCGAACGGCAGCACGGGUGCUUGCACCUGGUGGCGAGUGGCGAACGGGUGAGUAAUACAUCGGAACGUACCUUAUCGUGGGGGAUAACGCAGCGAAAGCUGUGCUAAUACCGCAUACGCCCUGGGGGGGAAAGCGGGGGAGCGCAAGACCUCGCGCGAUUAGAGCGGCCGAUGCCUGAUUAGCUAGUUGGUGGGGUAAAAGCCCACCAAGGCGACGAUCAGUAGCUGGUCUGAGAGGACGAUCAGCCACACUGGGACUGAGACACGGCCAGACUCCUACGGGAGGCAGCAGUGGGGAAUUUUGGAAAAUGGGGGCAACCCUGAUCCAGCAAUGCCGCGUGGGUGAAGAAGGCCUUCGGGUUGUAAAGCUCUUUUGUCAGGGAAGAAACACCGGCUCUAACACAGUCCGGGAAUGACGGUACCUGAAGAAUAAGCACCGGCUAACUACGUGCCAGCCGCCGCCGUAA
Molecule: ribosomal RNA, 500 nt
Filed under: uncultured bacterium
Lineage: Bacteria
Description: partial 16S ribosomal RNA
Rfam family: Bacterial small subunit ribosomal RNA
Source: RNAcentral